Molecule: long non-coding RNA, 896 nt
Filed under: Solanum tuberosum (potato)
Lineage: Eukaryota; Viridiplantae; Streptophyta; Magnoliopsida; Solanales; Solanaceae
Description: long non-coding RNA (STUB_LNC007876)
Source: RNAcentral
UAGCGUGAUGACAAUUAUGGGAGCCUCGGUAUGUGAUAUCGAAUACAGUCGGAUCAUCAUCUGAUCUCUGCACUUGUUUUGUUGCCCAACAGUUUUGCAUGUGACGAUAAGUGCAUCUGUAGUAACUUCUGCAAAACACAUGUAAACUUGGUAUCAGAACAUAUGUUUCUGUUCUUCAACUGAUUUAUGAUUGAACCAUAGUUAAUCGAUCGAUUGAAAACUUCGUUUUUCGUUUUUAUAAGUUUAUGACUUUCAUGCAGGUUAAUGAAGUUGACUUAUUACCUAGGAUAUUUAGCUCUUAAAAUAUCCUUCUGUCCGUACUUUCUCCAGCUAUAUCCAUCAUCAGUAGGACCUUCAAAUCCGCUCUCCGCGCUGACUUUGACUUGUUCAGUCCAUGUGGGCUGUGAUUUUCUGCAAUAUCCAUCAAGAAACAGGUUAGUUGACCAAUGAAAAUCAGCUGCUGAAACUCUCCUUUUCAUUUUAUAGAGUAGUAUUUGACUUGACACGGACUUUUUAGCACAUAUCGAAAGUAGUAUUCUUAGAUCUUGUGGUUUUAAACAUGUCAUGGCAUUUCUAUAGCUACAAAAGCAGGUUAUUAAAGGUAAAACGAGAAGUUUGAAGUUAGAGGAAUUUUCUAAAUAUAGAAAAGUGUCAUUUUUAAUGGAAAUUGAUCUUCUACCUCUUCUUUGAAAUAUUAAUGAGCUCAUGAUGAUCUUGGAAACUCCUUUUCUUGUCAUCACUCUUAGGACUUCCAUCAAUGGAUACCGAAGACUCGAUUGCACCAGUUGAUGGUGGUAGAGCCGGCGGGGAUUGGACUGUUGAGCCACCCCAGUUGAGAAUCAACAGAGAUUGCUCAUAAGAAGAAAGAAUCUUCUGAAGAAGCAAUUCUUGAUUCU